Long non-coding RNA from Patella vulgata (common limpet), 2997 nucleotides. RefSeq lists it as uncharacterized. The transcript is spliced from 4 exons. The record is from RefSeq and is a predicted model, not a curated record. Lineage: Eukaryota; Metazoa; Mollusca; Gastropoda; Patellidae.
UGUCUAACCUACAAAGCACAAAUUUUGAAAUAACACAGCUUAACUUUACAGUUUCAAGAUAUGUAAUUUCAACAUUUGUAUUUUCAAGAUAUGUAAUUUCAACAUUUGUAGUUUCAACAUUUGCAGUUUCAACAGUUGUAUUAACGACACUUGCAUUAUCGAGCCUUGCAUUAACAAGCCAUGCGUUAGCGAACUAUGACCAUAUUUGGGUUGAUGACGUUGAUCAUUAAUCCGGAAAACGCCGAGUUUGGUCCUGCAAUGAUGUCUCCCGUCUCAAUAAAAAUAUCUCUUCUUGGGUGGAGUUUUUCAAGGGGAACUACUCUCAUUAUUUCCGUUCUUCAACAUGGCCAAUGAACUUAUUCAUGAAGUGAAGUCCCGAAUAGAGGGAAUUUGCAAUUUGUUAGAUACACAAAAUUUUCAAUCGCUUUCAGACAUCAUACAUGAUAUACAUACAGUAGCAGGUAUUGUCUCAGAUUUAAUGUGUUCCAUGCCUUCCACGGAAGAAGACAGUAUAACGAUGAAUGGAUUACAAACUUGUUUAUUUCAUAUUCAAAAUGCUGCAAAUUUAAUCGAACGAAAGCAGGCCAAUGAAGUUAUAACUGGAUCUCUCGGACAUUCAUUGUCACCAGGACAUACUGGACGACCAUCAAAGUUAGUUCCAUUUGAACAGCUAGAAUUUUUGGUUUCUAAUGGAUUCAAAUUGAAUGACAUGGCCAAUUUAUUUAAUAUUAGUCCCAGAACCAUGAGUCGAAGAUUGCUUGAAUAUGGUAUUUCAUUAAAUGAAAAAUAUAGUCAUAUUUCCAAUGAUGAGCUAGAUGAAAUAGUAAUUGACCUUCUUAGUAACUUUCCAAAUAUUGGGUAUCGAAGUAUAAAAGGACACCUGCACAGUAAAGGACAUAUAAUUCAAGAAUACAGGGUUCGUGAAUCGAUGAGAAGGGUUGAUAUAGAGAUUACAUGUCAUUUCGGUCCCGCGUCAUUUCGGACUUACGUCAUUUCGGACUCCAAAAAAUAUGUCCCCGACAUUUCGGACUCGGGUAGGUGACAUUUCGGACUCGGGUAGGUGACGUUUCGGACUCGGGUAGGUGACGUUUCGGACUCGGGUAGGUAAGAUAGAAUUAUACAACACACUGACGCCAAUUUACUUUAUAAACUAUUUUAUUUAUCAACAUAGCAUAAAAUGAUAACAUCGAUUUAUAACAACGGGCAUAUUAUUUUAUUUUUAAACAUACCAUAUAGCGAUAACAACGGUCAUAUAAAACAUUCAUUUAUUGUAUAAAUACAUACACAUUCAUACAUUAACGCAACAUUUAUAACAACACGUGUAUUUAUUUGAUGAAAAAAUAGCUUUAGUCGGCUAUUCAUUUUUUUUUUUUUUUUUUUUCAUUUUUUUAAUUAUGUAAUUGUUUUUCACUGAGCGGGUGGACCAUACAAAUGACUUAUUUUUUUUAAUAGUCUACUAGUGCUCAUCUGUUUUUCAUUGUAUGAAUCCCAUAUAUUAAAAAGUUGGCCUUCUACAUGUCGAUACCGACGUCUUUGGUGUCGUCUCAAUGAACCUUCCGACAUUUUUUUAAUUAUGUAAUUGUUUUUCACUGAGCGGGUGGACCAUACAAAUGACUUAUUUUUUUUAAUAGUCUACUAGUGCUCAUCUGUUUUUCAUUGUAUGAAUCCCAUAUAUUAAAAAGUUGGCCUUCUACAUGUCGAUACCGACGUCUUUGGUGUCGUCUCAAUGAACCUUCCGACAUCAUUGUGAGGUCCAGUGGUAUCUUUGUAGCUUCUGAAAAAAGUGCGCAAAUCAAUAGAUAAAAUGGCACAGGACCUCUGGCGUUGACACGGGAAUUUAGUCUGUUGUGCCAGCCCUCCACGUCGUUAUUGGUUCUCACUGGCAACAUAAACACGCACCAAUCUUCUAUUGGAAACAGACGAGAUGAAAUCCAUUGAUCGAAACGACGUUUGUGCUGAGUCCGAAAUGACGCGGGACCGAAAUGACGUGCUACCGAUAUAGAAGGUGUUCUCUAUCGUCGACUUACUUUAAAUCCAGUAAGACGAAGAAGAUAUUCUGUUCGUGCGCCAAACUCAUUGUGGCAUAUAGACGGCUAUCAUAAAUUGAUAAGCUGGCACUUAGUUGUUCAUGGAGGUAUAGACGGUUAUUCUCGCCUCCCUACAUAUUUAAAGAUUAGCAACAACAAUAGAGCAGAAACUGUUAUGCAAGCAUUUAAUGAAGCUGUUCAAAAUUAUGGAUUGCCAUGGAGAGUUAGAUCGGAUAAAGGGGGCGAGAACGUUCGUGUUGCAGAAUAUAUGAUAAAUUCCAGAGGUUUUGGAAGAGGCAGCCAUAUUACUGGAAGAAGUGUCCAUAAUCAGAGAAUAGAGAGAUUUUGGAGAGAUUUGUGGAUGGGAUGCAUCAGUUUUUUCUACUACCUUUUUUGCUACAUGGAAGCAGAAAACAUAUUUAUACCAACUGAUGAAAUACAUAUUCAAGCCCUACACUAUAUCUUCAUACCAAGGAUUCAAAAACACUUGAACGAAUUUAGAGAGGCCUUUAUCAGGCGAUCUAUUAGGACAGCUAAUCAGAAAACGCCGUUACAGUUAUGGAUAGAUGGUCAAAUCCUGGAUCCAAAUGAAAAUCUUGCUUCUGAGGCAGACUUUCAAAGUUACGGAACAAUACAAAAUGGUUUGAUGGCAUAUGAUGAUGAACCAGAAAGAGUUGUUAUUGGUCAUUUUCCUAUAUCUUUAACUGAUCAAAAGAUGGAAGAAUUGAUGUGCCAAAUAAAUCCUUUAUUCGAUUCAGAAAAUCAGGGAAUGGACUUGUUUCUUGCAACCGUAAAUUUCAUUUCUAAUUAUCAUGAAAUGAAUUAGGAAAUCAACACUGCUUUUUUUCAAUUAAUAGGUUUUUAUUGGGUAUUUCACCAACAGAGGCCCAGUUCAUGCUACAUACAUUUUCAAUUCAAACCAAAACCAUAAGCACAUACAAUUAUGUUAAUAAAAGCAUUUUCUAGGAAA